Xyrichtys novacula (pearly razorfish) is the source of this 146-nucleotide non-coding RNA. Lineage: Eukaryota; Metazoa; Chordata; Actinopteri; Labriformes; Labridae. The record is from the annotation of a GenBank genome assembly.
AAGGGAGGAACGCCUGCACACUAGUUUACAUGCUCCAAACACACUUUUAUUAUAUCAAGGCAACAGAUAUAUAUAACAACAACAGCAGAUAUAAUAAAAGUGUGUUUGGAGCAUGUAAACUAGUUUGGGGGGGCGUUCCUCCCUUU